GCCCAGAUCGUUUACCGUGAAGAAAUUAGAGUGUUCAAAGCAGGUGACUUACAACCUGGCGGUCAGCCUCAAAAGGGUUGGCCGUCAGGCACCACGAUGAAUACAUUAGCAUGGGAUAACGGAAUACGACCCUGUCUUUGUUCUGUUGGUUCCUUCGAAGAUGGGGUAAUGAUUAAUAGGGAUGGUCGGGGGCAUUAAUAUUUAAUUGUCAGAGGUGAAAUUCUUGGAUUCAUGAAAGAUUAACUUCAGCGAAAGCAUCUGCCAAGGACGUUUUCAUUAAUCAAGAACGAAAGUUAGG
Molecule: ribosomal RNA, 298 nt
Filed under: Acanthamoeba sp.
Lineage: Eukaryota; Discosea; Longamoebia; Acanthamoebidae
Description: partial small subunit ribosomal RNA
Rfam family: Eukaryotic small subunit ribosomal RNA
Source: RNAcentral